GUAGGGAAUAUUGCGCAAUGGACGAAAGUCUGACGCAGCGACGCCGCGUGAGUGAUGAAGGCCUUAGGGUCGUAAAGCUCUGUUGAAUGGGAAGAAAAAAAUGACGGUACCAUUCGAGGAAGGACCGGCUAACUUCGUGCCAGCAGCCGCGGUAAUACGAGGGGUCCUAGCGUUGUUCGGAAUCAUUGGGCGUAAAGGGUGUGUAGGUGGCCAUGUAAGUCAGGUGUGAAAGCCCCGUGCUCAACCCGGGAAAUACACUUGAUACUGCGUGGCUUGAGUACCGAAGAGGGUAGUGGAAUUCCAGGUGUAGUGGUGAAAUACGUAGAUAUCUGGAGGAACACCGGUGGCGAAGGCGGCUACCUGGUCGAGUACUGACACUGAGACACGAAAGCAUGGGGAUCAAACAGGAUUAGAAACCCCGGUAGUCC
RNAcentral lists this ribosomal RNA (428 nucleotides) under uncultured bacterium. Its description in RNAcentral is "partial 16S ribosomal RNA". It matches the Rfam family "Bacterial small subunit ribosomal RNA", at positions 354 to 796 of the family's 1533-position model. The record is from RNAcentral.